CAAAAAAUAGUUUAUUAGAGAACGUUAAUUUUGGAGAUUAAAGGUAUAAAUUUCAUUAUUUUUUUGA
This 67-nucleotide transfer RNA is filed under the name Pheidole pieli. Its description in RNAcentral is "tRNA-Pro". Lineage: Eukaryota; Metazoa; Arthropoda; Insecta; Hymenoptera; Formicidae. The record is from RNAcentral.